Molecule: long non-coding RNA, 1176 nt
Filed under: Equus asinus (donkey)
Lineage: Eukaryota; Metazoa; Chordata; Mammalia; Perissodactyla; Equidae
Description: lncRNA (ENSEASG00005027196.1)
Source: RNAcentral
CAGCGCCACCAGUAGCCACGCUCUUGGCCACAACCGCAGCGUUGGAACUGCGCGAGGGGGGAUGAGGGGUCCAACCUAGGAAGCAGCGCCAACCAGGCUCCCCGGGGUGGGAGGCCCCGAGCCGAGGGCGCCACCUGUGGGAUCACGCCCCUCUAGCCGUGUGCUCAGGGCAUGACACGAGGGUAGGCAGCCUUGGCCGGGUUGCCACUAGGACUCAGACCCGGUCUCGCUGACAUCAGAGAUUGCCGGACCCUGGUACCCUGGGUGGGACUUCCGCAUCCUGGGUUUUCCCAUCGCUAGGAAUGUUUUACUGGUAACAAUAGUUGAGUUGAGAAGAUCCAUGCUCAUCCUGCGCGUUUCAGCACCAUUUGGACUGCUAGGUGACUUACCAAGCAUUGCAUGGGAGAGUCGUCUAUCAUUUUAAGUAAACGCCUUGGGAAAAGAAGUACCAUUCAUUAUCUAUAAUUUAUAUACCAUAUCUUAAUUAAAAUGCAAAGAAGAUAUGCCUUAAGAGUGGAGACCAGAGCAUUAGGGGCUGCACAAAUACUUCUUGGCUUUUUUCACUGUGCACUGGGGAUUCUCUGUGAAUGUUUGUUUAUCAGAGAGGCGGGCUUACAACGUGUUGGUUACAUCCCUACAUUUGUUAUAAUAAUUUACGCAUUUUGGUCAGCACCAUAUUACAUCACCUCGGGGGCCAUCAGCGUUGCAGCACAGAGGAAGGGUUCACAAUAUCAGUGUGUUUCUGGCAUUGUUAUGAAUAUCUUAAGUGCCUGCUUUGCUGCACUUGGUGCAGUUGCCUUAAUCAUUGCGUGUGCAAGUUUUCAGUCAGAAGAAGAUUACACUUGGACACAGUUGGCUGGUACUAUGCUUUUACACUAUUUACUCUUCAUUGCUGUCUCAGAACUGAUCAUUGCAAGUAUAACUAUCCACUGGAUUGUGCAAGCAUUGCAGUAUCAAGAAUACGGCGACGAGAGUUCCUCACUAUCAGAAUUCUCCAUCUCUUCAUAAUUUGCAAAGAACCGGUGUGACUCUAGUCAAGAGCAAAAGAUGAAUCGUGAAUUAGUGAAGAACUCCGUAAUUUUUUUCAAGAGGCCUGAUGGAGAAUGCAUUUUAAUGAAGUCCUUUCUAGUACUCCUUUUUCCUACUUCUUCAAUAAAGGAUGCAAUUUGAUCACAA